AGCAUGGUGUAGUGGUUUAAGGGUUGGACUACCACUCUAGAGACCUGGGUUUGAUUCCCUGCUCUGCCA
Non-coding RNA from Phrynosoma platyrhinos (Desert horned lizard), 69 nucleotides. Lineage: Eukaryota; Metazoa; Chordata; Lepidosauria; Squamata; Phrynosomatidae. The record is from the annotation of a GenBank genome assembly.